GAUGAACGCUGGCGGCGUGCCUAAUACAUGCAAGUCGAGCGAACAGACGAGGAGCUUGCUCCUCUGACGUUAGCGGCGGACGGGUGAGUAACACGUGGAUAACCUACCUAUAAGACUGGGAUAACUUCGGGAAACCGGAGCUAAUACCGGAUAAUAUAUUGAACCGCAUGGUUCAAUAGUGAAAGACGGUUUUGCUGUCACUUAUAGAUGGAUCCGCGCCGCAUUAGCUAGUUGGUAAGGUAACGGCUUACCAAGGCAACGAUGCGUAGCCGACCUGAGAGGGUGAUCGGCCACACUGGAACUGAGACACGGUCCAGACUCCUACGGGAGGCAGCAGUAGGGAAUCUUCCGCAAUGGGCGAAAGCCUGACGGAGCAACGCCGCGUGAGUGAUGAAGGUCUUCGGAUCGUAAAACGCUGUUAUUAGGGAAGAACAAAUGUGUAAGUAACGAUGCACGUCUGGACGGUACCUAAUCAGAAAGCCACGGCUAACUACGU
This 496-nucleotide ribosomal RNA is filed under the name uncultured bacterium. Its description in RNAcentral is "partial 16S ribosomal RNA". It matches the Rfam family "Bacterial small subunit ribosomal RNA", at positions 28 to 506 of the family's 1533-position model. The record is from RNAcentral.